Long non-coding RNA from Pseudopipra pipra, 1160 nucleotides. RefSeq lists it as uncharacterized. The transcript is spliced from 3 exons. The record is from RefSeq and is a predicted model, not a curated record. NCBI's taxonomy places the organism in Eukaryota, Metazoa, Chordata, Aves, Passeriformes, Pipridae.
AAUACUACGUCUUAACUGUGUAUUUUCUGUAUAAUUCUAGGCACGACAGGAAUGCAUCCCAUCGAGGGAUGCAAAAAUCGCUAGAGACCUUCAACGAGCCUUCCAGUUGAGACUUGAAUGUGAAAACUUCCUGCUUACCAAAAUGUUGCGUACAAUGUUAUGCUGUUGCCUGGAAAAAACCAAGCGCAAAGAAACCCUUGGCUUAAGCUGAAGUUGCCCUUCACUAGAGUUCAUCUCAAGCACAAACAGCAAAACAGCCACAAGAUAAGUAUAAGCUUCAGCCAUCACUUCCCCUCCCAUGUACACCGAUGGCAUUCAGCACUAAACCGCACCAUACCCGUUCUUUGCUGUUGGUUCCUGAUUUUUGCUAUGAUUCUGUGAUUCAUGGCUUGUCUUGGUAGCUUAGGUGGUGCAGUCUUUUUUGGAAUAAGCAAGAAGAUCAGUGACAAAAGAUAAUCUGUCUUUAGGAAAAGAUUAUUCAGUAUUUUUUCGGCAAAUAUCAGUUCAGUGCUUGCCGUACGUAGCAUAAAACAUGCUGUAGAAUUUGAGGCCAGGUGUCCAAAGAGGAAAUGCACCUGUUCCAUGGGGAUUUGUUCCUCCAGAGUUACUGCUUUGCAGUGCCUGGUGCUGUGUAGUAGUAGUGUGCCAAUAAAUCACUGGUUUGGACAUAAAAGGAAAGCAGAGACUUCGGGUUGAAGAGGUCUACAGGGGGCUGUUUAGCACAGGAGUCAUUUGUGGAUUGCCUGAAGGUGUUCAGUGUGUAGCCCCCAGAAUGUCUUCCACUUGCUUUAGAAAUGCUGUUGACGGAUAAGCAAUUGUGGAAAAAAUGGGUUUCUUCCUUUGCACCUAGCCCUUCCGUUGUUAUGUUCCCUUGGAAAUUUUAAAGUCUCUGUCUGGAUUGCAGUCCCUUGUGUUGCCUGUCAUGUCCUUGCCUUAUUUUGCCCUGUCUGCUGUAAAAGUAACACCAGGAAUCUUGUCAAUUUUCCCCCCAGCCACUGCUAAACUUACAAGUGGAUCUGCUGGAUCUUCAAAAAAUCUUCAUGUGGAGCACGGACGCGGUCCCUGUGGGAAUAACAGGUUUGCCACUCUCGGGAUGAGGGUGUAAAAAAUGGCUCAUUUAGGGAGCUUUCAUAUGCAGCAAUGUCCUCACUCCCGACAGA